CAGAAGUAGGAUUUGAAACCACGUUUUGCUGACUCUAGGGCCACUUCUCUACCCGCUUUGCUACAUUGCUUUUCGAGGCAUUUUAUAACAUAAUUUAAUCAGAAGGUUAGCAAUAAAUCAAUGAAAAAGAUGUGUUUCCCUAGCCUGUGACAAAACCAGUUUCUGUGCCAACUCCCUAGUAGUAGGAAGGGCAAAAUUCUGGAACAGACACCUUAUUCCAGGCCUAAGAGGUCAAAGGUAAACAAACAAACCAGGGCUUUUUCACUUACAAAUCUAUCCUAUGCCCUAUCAUCAUCCCCAACCUUUAGAUUCAGCUUCAUGGUAAUACCUGCAGGAACUCAAGAGCUCUAUUCUUCUCUCCUGAUCUAGCAUGGUUUAUACAAGCAGGACAGCAUCUGGCAUUAACUUUGCUCCCAGGCAGUCAGAUUUCCAGUCUCAGAUUUCCAGCUCCCCUUCUCAUCUGACUAAGAGACACCUUGAAGUAUCAUGCAUAAUUUGCAAUGACCACAAUUUCUUCAUGAAGGGAUUGCAGAAUAUAGGAUGGCUCAAAGCCUGUAUGGCACGUUGCUGGAAACAUAUAAUAAAGGCAGAGAUUUGGAAGAAAAAGUUGAGAUGGAAGAUGUCACUUUGGUAUGGUUCCCCUUGGAGUCUCAUCCUUAACUUUACACUUUCCCUUUCAUUU
This 682-nucleotide long non-coding RNA is filed under the name Phascolarctos cinereus (koala). Its description in RNAcentral is "lncRNA (ENSPCIG00000022623.2)". The record is from RNAcentral. Lineage: Eukaryota; Metazoa; Chordata; Mammalia; Diprotodontia; Phascolarctidae.